RNAcentral lists this ribosomal RNA (903 nucleotides) under Pediococcus pentosaceus. Its description in RNAcentral is "bacterial SSU rRNA". Lineage: Bacteria; Bacillati; Bacillota; Bacilli; Lactobacillales; Lactobacillaceae. The record is from RNAcentral.
UGCAGUCGAACGAACUUCCGUUAAUUGAUUAUGACGUACUUGUACUGAUUGAGAUUUUAACACGAAGUGAGUGGCGAACGGGUGAGUAACACGUGGGUAACCUGCCCAGAAGUAGGGGAUAACACCUGGAAACAGAUGCUAAUACCGUAUAACAGAGAAAACCGCAUGGUUUUCUUUUAAAAGAUGGCUCUGCUAUCACUUCUGGAUGGACCCGCGGCGUAUUAGCUAGUUGGUGAGGUAAAGGCUCACCAAGGCAGUGAUACGUAGCCGACCUGAGAGGGUAAUCGGCCACAUUGGGACUGAGACACGGCCCAGACUCCUACGGGAGGCAGCAGUAGGGAAUCUUCCACAAUGGACGCAAGUCUGAUGGAGCAACGCCGCGUGAGUGAAGAAGGGUUUCGGCUCGUAAAGCUCUGUUGUUAAAGAAGAACGUGGGUAAGAGUAACUGUUUACCCAGUGACGGUAUUUAACCAGAAAGCCACGGCUAACUACGUGCCAGCAGCCGCGGUAAUACGUAGGUGGCAAGCGUUAUCCGGAUUUAUUGGGCGUAAAGCGAGCGCAGGCGGUCUUUUAAGUCUAAUGUGAAAGCCUUCGGCUCAACCGAAGAAGUGCAUUGGAAACUGGGAGACUUGAGUGCAGAAGAGGACAGUGGAACUCCAUGUGUAGCGGUGAAAUGCGUAGAUAUAUGGAAGAACACWAGUGGCGAAGGKGGCUGUCUGGUCUGCAACUGACGCUGAGGCUCGAAAGCAUGGGUAGCGAACAGGAUUAGAUACCCUGGUAGUCWAUGCCGMAACGAUGAUUACUAAGUGUUGGAGGUUUCCGCCCUURAGUGCUGCAGCUAACGCAUUAAGUAAUCCGCCUGGGGAGUACGACCGCAAGGUUGAAACUCAAAGAAUUGACGGG